UACAGAGGUCCCAAGCGUUGUUCGGAUUCACUGGGCGUAAAGGGUGCGUAGGCGGCCUUGUAAGUCAGGGGUGAAAGACGGUAGCUUAACUAUCGCAGUGCCUUUGAUACUGCAGGGCUUGAAUGUACUUGAGGUAGGCGGAAUGUGACAAGUAGCGGUGAAAUGCAUAGAUAUGUCACAGAACACCAAUUGCGAAGGCAGCUUACUAAAGUAUGAUUGACGCUGAGGCACGAAAGCGUGGGGAUCAAACAGG
RNAcentral lists this ribosomal RNA (253 nucleotides) under uncultured bacterium. RNAcentral describes it as "partial 16S ribosomal RNA". It matches the Rfam family "Bacterial small subunit ribosomal RNA", at positions 524 to 776 of the family's 1533-position model. The record is from RNAcentral.